CAGACUAUACUCUUAUAGAAGAGAUUAACAUUUACAAUGUUAAGGUAGUUGUGCAAUUCAACUUAGUCUGA
This 71-nucleotide transfer RNA is filed under the name Phymata americana. Its description in RNAcentral is "tRNA-Val". The record is from RNAcentral. Lineage: Eukaryota; Metazoa; Arthropoda; Insecta; Hemiptera; Phymatidae.